This 74-nucleotide transfer RNA is filed under the name Bacteriophage sp. Its description in RNAcentral is "tRNA-Met". It matches the Rfam family "tRNA". From Rfam's summary of the family: Transfer RNA (tRNA) molecules are approximately 80 nucleotides in length. Their secondary structure includes four short double-helical elements and three loops (D, anti-codon, and T loops). The record is from RNAcentral. RNAcentral also lists the same sequence under 2 other names.
GGACUUGUAGCUCAGCAGGUUAGAGCAACAGACUCAUAAUCUGGAGGUCCUAGGUUCAAGCCCUAGCUGGUCCA